Molecule: ribosomal RNA, 295 nt
Filed under: uncultured Streptococcus sp.
Lineage: Bacteria; Bacillati; Bacillota; Bacilli; Lactobacillales; Streptococcaceae
Description: partial 16S ribosomal RNA
Rfam family: Bacterial small subunit ribosomal RNA
Source: RNAcentral
GUCCGCAACGAGCGCACCCCUAUUGUUAGUUGCCAUCAUUCAGUUGGGCACUCUAGCGAGACUGCCGGUAAUAAACCGGAGGAAGGUGGGGAUGACGUCAAAUCAUCAUGCCCCUUAUGACCUGGGCUACACACGUGCUACAAUGGUUGGUACAACGAGUUGCGAGUCGGUGACGGCGAGCUAAUCUCUUAAAGCCAAUCUCAGUUCGGAUUGUAGGCUGCAACUCGCCUACAUGAAGUCGGAAUCGCUAGUAAUCGCGGAUCAGCACGCCGCGGUGAAUACGUUCCCGGGCCUU